Ilyonectria destructans is the source of this 104-nucleotide non-coding RNA. The record is from the annotation of a GenBank genome assembly. NCBI's taxonomy places the organism in Eukaryota, Fungi, Ascomycota, Sordariomycetes, Hypocreales, Nectriaceae.
GGGGGGCUGGCGCAACGGUAGCGCGUUAGAUUCCAGUGUUCUUAGGGUUCCCUUGAUUGCACGGUGAUUCCUAAAGGCUAAGAGUUCAAAUCUCUUGUCCCUCA